AUACGGAGGGUGCAAGCGUUAAUCGGAAUUACUGGGCGUAAAGCGUACGUAGGCGGUUAGUUAAGUUAGAUGUGAAAGCCCCGGGCUUAACCUGGGAACUGCAUUUAAAACUGGCUAACUAGAGUUAAGUAGAGGGGAGUGGAAUUUCAGGUGUAGCGGUGAAAUGCGUAGAGAUCUGAAGGAACACCAGUGGCGAAGGCGACUCCCUGGACUAAAACUGACGCUGAGGUACGAAAGCGUGGGUAGCAAACAGGAUUAGAAACCCUAGUAGUCC
Molecule: ribosomal RNA, 274 nt
Filed under: uncultured bacterium
Lineage: Bacteria
Description: partial 16S ribosomal RNA
Rfam family: Bacterial small subunit ribosomal RNA
Source: RNAcentral